AGAGUUUGAUCAUGGCUCAGGAUGAACGCUAGCUACAGGCUUAACACAUGCAGGUCGAGGGGAAACGAUAUUGGAAGCUUGCUUCCGAUAGGCGUCGACCGGCGCACGGGUGAGUAACGCGUAUCCAACCUGCCCACCACUUGGGGAUAACCUUGCGAAAGUAAGACUAAUACCCAAUGACGUCUCUAGAAGACAUCUGAAGGAGAUUAAAGAUUUAUCGGUGAUGGAUGGGGAUGCGUCUGAUUAGCUUGUUGGCGGGGUAACGGCCCACCAAGGCAACGAUCAGUAGGGGUUCUGAGAGGAAGGUCCCCCACAUUGGAACUGAGACACGGUCCAAACUCCUACGGGAGGCAGCAGUGAGGAAUAUUGGUCAAUGGGCGAGAGCCUGAACCAGCCAAGUAGCGUGCAGGAAGACGGCCCUAUGGGUUGUAAACUGCUUUUAUAAGGGAAUAAAGUUAGUCUCGUGAGACUUUUUGCAUGUACCUUAUGAAUAAGGACCGGCUAAUUCCGUGCCAGCAGCCGCGGUAAUACGGAAGGUCCGGGCGUUAUCCGGAUUUAUUGGGUUUAAAGGGAGCGUAGGCCGGAGAUUAAGCGUGUUGUGAAAUGUAGACGCUCAACGUCUGCACUGCAGCGCGAACUGGUUUCCUUGAGUACGCACAAAGUGGGCGGAAUUCGUGGUGUAGCGGUGAAAUGCUUAGAUAUCACGAAGAACUCCGAUUGCAAAGGCAGCUCACUGGAGCGCAACUGACGCUGAAGCUCGAAAGUGCGGGUAUCGAACAGGAUUAGAUACCCUGGUAGUCCGCACGGUAAACGAUGGAUGCCCGCUGUUGGUCUGAACAGGUCAGCGGCCAAGCGAAAGCAUUAAGCAUCCCACCUGGGGAGUACGCCGGCAACGGUGAAACUCAAAGGAAUUGACGGGGGCCCGCACAAGCGGAGGAACAUGUGGUUUAAUUCGAUGAUACGCGAGGAACCUUACCCGGGCUUGAAUUGCAGAGGAAGGAUUUGGAGACAAUGACGCCCUUCGGGGUCUCUGUGAAGGUGCUGCAUGGUUGUCGUCAGCUCGUGCCGUGAGGUGUCGGCUUAAGUGCCAUAACGAGCGCAACCCCUCUCCUUAGUUGCCAUCAGGUUAAGCUGGGCACUCUGGGGACACUGCCACCGUAAGGUGUGAGGAAGGUGGGGAUGACGUCAAAUCAGCACGGCCC
Molecule: ribosomal RNA, 1202 nt
Filed under: metagenome
Description: bacterial SSU rRNA
Rfam family: Bacterial small subunit ribosomal RNA
Source: RNAcentral